RNAcentral lists this ribosomal RNA (253 nucleotides) under uncultured prokaryote. RNAcentral's name for it is "partial 16S ribosomal RNA". It matches the Rfam family "Bacterial small subunit ribosomal RNA", at positions 524 to 776 of the family's 1533-position model. The record is from RNAcentral.
UACAGAGGUCUCAACCGUUGUUCGGAUUCAUUGGGCGUAAAGGGUGCGUAGGCUGCGGAGUAAGUCAGGUGUGAAAUCUCGGGGCUCAACCCCGAAACUGCACUUGAUACUGCUUCGCUCGAGUACUGGAGAGGAGACUGGAAUUCAUGGUGUAGCAGUGAAAUGCGUAGAGAUCAUGAGGAAGACCAGUGGCGAAGGCGGGUCUCUGGACAGUUCCUGACACUGAGGCACGAAGGCCAGGGGAGCAAACGGG